Molecule: ribosomal RNA, 589 nt
Filed under: uncultured bacterium
Lineage: Bacteria
Description: partial 16S ribosomal RNA
Rfam family: Bacterial small subunit ribosomal RNA
Source: RNAcentral
UGGGGAAUAUUGGACAAUGGGCGCAAGCCUGAUCCAGCAAUGCCGCGUGUGUGAAGAAGGCCUUCGGGUUGUAAAGCACUUUUAUCAGGAGCGAAACGCUGUCGGCUAAUACCCGGCGGAACUGACGGUACCUGAGGAAUAAGCACCGGCUAACUUCGUGCCAGCAGCCGCGGUAAUACGAAGGGUGCAAGCGUUAAUCGGAAUUACUGGGCGUAAAGCGUGCGUAGGCGGUUUCUUAAGUCUGCUGUGAAAUCCCCGGGCUCAACCUGGGAAUGGCAGUGGAUACUGGGAGGCUAGAGUGUGUCAGAGGGUGGUGGAAUUCCCGGUGUAGCGGUGAAAUGCAUAGAGAUCGGGAGGAACAUCAGUGGCGAAGGCGGCCACCUGGGACAACACUGACGCUGAGGCACGAAAGCGUGGGGAGCAAACAGGAUUAGAUACCCUGGUAGUCCACGCCCUAAAGCGAUGCGAACUGGAUGUUGGUCUCAACUCGGAGAUCAGUGUCGAAGCUAACGCGUUAAGUUCGCCGCCUGGGGGCUACGGUCGCAAGACUGGAACUUAAAUGAAUUGACGGGGUCAUAGCUGUUUCCUG